This is a long non-coding RNA of Oncorhynchus tshawytscha (Chinook salmon), 2922 nucleotides long. RefSeq lists it as uncharacterized. The record is from RefSeq and is a predicted model, not a curated record. NCBI's taxonomy places the organism in Eukaryota, Metazoa, Chordata, Actinopteri, Salmoniformes, Salmonidae. The transcript is spliced from 5 exons.
CUUGUUUCCCCUUCUGUUUGAGUGACAUUUUUGGUUCUCGCUGGGGAAUGUAACCGCUCUGUAGUGCUGUAGUAUAAUUAAAGAUUUCAGGUUUCUCAAUUGAAGACAUCCCGCUUUUCUUUUCUGCUCCCCAAUUUCGUGAUUAAAUUGGUAGUUAGUUUUGUCCCAUUGCUGCAACUCCCAUACGAACUCGGGAGAGGCAAAGCUUGAGAGCCAUGCGUCCUCCGAAACACGACCCUGCCAAGCCGCACUGCUUCUUGACACACUGCUCGCUUAACCCGGAAGAGUACGGCACCAAUGUGUCAGAGGGAAGGUGGUACAACUGGCGACGGUGUAAGCGUGCAUGCACCCGGCCUGCCACCGGAGUCGCAAGAUGGGUCAAGGACAUCCCAGUUGACCAGACCCUCCCCUAACCCAGACAACGCUGGCCCAAUUGUGCACCGCCUCAUUGGUCUCCCAAUGCGGCUGGGAGAACCUGGGUCUGUAGCGAUGCCUCCAGCACUGCAAUGCAGUGCCUUAAAUGCUGCGCCACUCGGGAGGCCCACCGUUUAGGCUGUUAUUUUUGUUGUUGUUGGAUGGUCACAGUUCUGGUCUGCUUAAAGGGCUACCGCAGUUCCUGAUUUGGUCUUGUUUUAGAUUUUGUUAAUUAAAAAAAUGCUAGCGGCUGUGACUGAAUUCAAACGUGAGUUGGUUUCGGGGUGUGGUUUGAUGUAGGUGUUUGCAGGUGGAAAAGGUUAGCUAAAUUAUUGCGCUAAUUUGCUUCAACUGUGGCAGAGUUGGUUAGACUAUCCAAAGUCUAACCAUCUUCAAGGUUAGUUGGUAACUGUCCAUUUACACAAUGUAAAUUACAAUUUAUAGAUGCUUUGAGGUUUAAGUCAUUGAAAUUUGGAGGUAUUGGGAUUUUGAUGUUGUCCCAUGUACAUUAUGUAAUUUAAUGAUGGUCCAUAACUAGCCCCAUAGAGAUCCAAAGUCAACCUGAAUUUAUCACAGGGAUUACAAUAGGGUCUUGUGUAGCUGCACUCCAAAUUGACGAUUUAAAGCCAAUUUACGCUUGAUCUGAAAAUGUGGUGGAGGCUUUGUAUGGAGAGUGUGACACAAUUGCAGAGCCAAAUCAAGCUCCGUACUUCAUUUGCAUUGCCGUGCACCUCUCAAAUCUUGUAAUAAUGUGGAGGGCUCCGCAUUAACAUGAUUGUUUGGUGGGGGUGGGAGGUUCUGUGUAAACACACUCACUUCCUUCACAACAGCUUUGUGAUGCGCAAAAAGUAUGUUUGUUCUAACUUCUGCGGAGGUCCCAUAGCAGUAAAUGCUGUACUACCACUGCAGAUGUCAGAUUGACCAUGCAGAGUUUUUAAUUUGUGUGCUGCCAGUUGUGGGCAGGAUUGAAACAAACCCAACCUUCAUUUACAUUGUGAUGCAGUCACUACCACACAACUCUUGUUUUGGAAAAGACUGACUUUAUCACCAAAAUGAUCCUAUUUACACAUUGUAGGACAUUUUGACAGAAUAAUAAAUGUUUGACUCAUACUGUAGAUGGCCACACCCCGUUUUCUAAAUGAGAAAUUGUUUUAUUAGGGGUAGUUUCUCUUUAACGGUUGGCUCUUGCGUAGGCACCAAUGUGAGGGAGUUAUUUUACACUGGCCUGGUUUUUUAAUCCAGGCUCUUCACGUCAUCGGGCGAAAGCGGGGAGGGAGGAGUACCCUUCUCAAAUCAAACAGUAAUCUGCACCAGUCGGGCAUGUCAACAAGCAUGCUGCAUCGUCCAGAAUCUCUUUUCCAUGAAAUAAAUGUGAUAAUUUAAGACAGUGUUUUUAUAACAAAAUGUAUCAUAUUCACUACAUAUGCUUAAUUACUUUUGUUUUGAGACUACUUUGCCAUCGGACGGAGCAGGCACCUGGAUCACGCCCAGGAGGCAGCCCGAUUCCAAAUCAAAUGCAAUCAUUUUCCAGAUGAUGCAAAACACACCUACACAGGUGUGAUUAAUCAAACCCCCUCAUUAGCAGCUGGGUCUGGCCUGUUUAGCUAAUUGACUGUAUAUGAACCAGAAAAAAAAGGAGCGAGUGUGACGUCUCGCUUUAUCUUCUGCCUCUGGAAUUAUCCCGGCCAGGGCACAAAAAAAAUCCUGAUUCCACUAAUCACCUCACCUCCUUACACCAAACCAAUUAGCUGAUCAGCUAAGGUCCUGCCCUGACUGCUGAUUGAUCACAUGAAGUGGUUGUGAGAGUAAUGGCAUUGUGGAAUCUGUCUGUUUGAAGGCUGUUUUCUAGAGCUUGGCAGAAGCCCCACCUGACUCCUCUGGAUAGAAGCUGAUGGAGGGCUGAGUGAGGACUGCUUGGUGGGCACAUAAUUCACAUACACUACUGUUAAGAGCACCAAGCCCACACAUUUACAUCUGUCUAGAGAAGAAGCAGAUUAUGGUGGACCGGAGGGACCAAGGAAACUAGAAGCCUAAGAAGAUGACCCCUAUCACUCGUGACAGUGGGGGUCCCCUUGUGUUCCUAUCCUGGUUUUGGCAGCUGGUGGGGGUGGUGAGCUGGGGGGUGGGCUGUGCCUGCCGGGGCACCCUGGGGUCUACUGCAGAAAGUACUACUGAAAAUCCAGUUUCUCUCAGCGGUAACUACUGUAAACUGACUGGUAAUUCUCUCUCGAUGAGCGCUGAGUGGUUCUGGAAAACAUUCACACAGUCAAAAGACAUACACACUGCACUGACUUACAAUACUGACCUGUAAAGUUUCUUUGUGUUCUUAUUUUAUAUUAUCUUAGAGAUGUAAGUACUUUAUGAGUUAUGUAUUUCAUUUUUUACAAAUAUUUUAUGGUUGAUUAAUGAUUUGUCCAAUUUUGACAGGCAAAAAAAGACAAUGUACUGUUAUAUUCAAAAGUUUAUUGGAUUCUUGUGGCUUUUUAUAAUAAAUCAUAUUUGAGCAGA